Molecule: ribosomal RNA, 377 nt
Filed under: uncultured bacterium
Lineage: Bacteria
Description: bacterial SSU rRNA
Rfam family: Bacterial small subunit ribosomal RNA
Source: RNAcentral
AUACGUAGGGGGCGAGCGUUGUCCGGAAUUACUGGGCGUAAAGGGUGCGUAGGCGGCCGAUUAAGUCAGAUGUGAAAUACCAGGGCUCAACCCUGGGGGUGCAUUUGAAACUGGUUGGCUUGAGUGCAGGAGAGGAAAGCGGAAUUCCUAGUGUAGCGGUGAAAUGCGUAGAGAUUAGGAGGAACACCAGUGGCGAAGGCGGCUUUCUGGACUGUAACUGACGCUGAGGCACGAAAGCGUGGGGAGCAAACAGGAUUAGAUACCCUGGUAGUCCACGCCGUAAACGAUGGAUACUAGGUGUAGGGGGUUAUGAUACCCUCUGUGCCGGAGUUAACGCAAUAAGUAUCCCGCCUGGGGAGUACGGCCGCAAGGUUGAA